Molecule: small nuclear RNA, 107 nt
Organism: Cebus imitator (Panamanian white-faced capuchin)
Lineage: Eukaryota; Metazoa; Chordata; Mammalia; Primates; Cebidae
Source: RefSeq, a predicted model, not a curated record
GUACUCCCUUUGGCAGCACAGAUACUAAAAUUGGAAUGAUACAGAGAAGAUUAGCAUGGCCCCUGCGCAAGGAUGACACGAGUUUUUAAAAAAAUAAUUAAAAAAAA